This 364-nucleotide long non-coding RNA is filed under the name Triticum aestivum (bread wheat). Its description in RNAcentral is "long non-coding RNA (TAES_LNC028270)". The record is from RNAcentral. Lineage: Eukaryota; Viridiplantae; Streptophyta; Magnoliopsida; Poales; Poaceae.
UCCUAUUAUGUGUACAGAGCUGCUGAUGUCACGGCCAUCUACCUUUCCAAGGUGCUCCUCCUUUACAUUUUAGUGUUCUAUUAGCUUUGUUUUCUUUACCGUAAGUUACUCAUUCCAUUCCUUUGCUUUUUUGCUACUGUAGAUUGCAAGAUAAACUGAUGAUGCAUGGCUCAGAUGUUGUGCAAGGUCGACAAUGGGGAUGCUACUUAGAUAAUUAGAAUGCCAUUUUCAUGGUCAAUGUUUCAAACAACAUUAUUAAUGGCUGAUAAGUUGAUGCAAGGUCAAGAACUGCCUACUUCUCCGUACUAGAUAGUUUCACAUCUUGUAAACUUUGGAUCAUGUUCUUUGUAAUGCAACAUAUUCG